GCCUGGGUGGCUCAGUAGGUUGAGCAUCCGACUUUGGCUCAGGUCAUGAUCUCACAGUUUGUGGGUUCAAGCCCCGCAUCAGGCU
Transfer RNA from Felis catus (domestic cat), 85 nucleotides. It matches the Rfam family "tRNA". Rfam says of the family: Transfer RNA (tRNA) molecules are approximately 80 nucleotides in length. Their secondary structure includes four short double-helical elements and three loops (D, anti-codon, and T loops). NCBI's taxonomy places the organism in Eukaryota, Metazoa, Chordata, Mammalia, Carnivora, Felidae. The record is from Rfam.